CACGUGGGUAACCUACCUCAUAGGGGGGGGAUAACAGUCGGAAACGACUGCUAAUACCGCAUAGGACAUGGAAUCACAUGAUCCAGUGAGGAAAGGUGGUGCAAGCUAUCGCUAAGAGAUGGACCCGCGGUGCAUUAGCUAGUUGGUAGGGUAAAGGCCUACCAAGGCGAUGAUGCAUAGCCGACCUGAGAGGGUGAUCGGCCACAUUGGGACUGAGACACGGCCCAAACUCCUACGGGAGGCAGCAGUAGGGAAUCUUCCGCAAUGGACGCAAGUCUGACGGAGCAACGCCGCGUGAGUGAAGAAGGUCUUCGGAUCGUAAAGCUCUGUUGUUAGAGAAGAAGCAGGCGCAUAGAGUUUUCUCUUAUGCAU
RNAcentral lists this ribosomal RNA (372 nucleotides) under Abiotrophia defectiva. RNAcentral describes it as "bacterial SSU rRNA". It matches the Rfam family "Bacterial small subunit ribosomal RNA", at positions 114 to 478 of the family's 1533-position model. The record is from RNAcentral. Lineage: Bacteria; Bacillati; Bacillota; Bacilli; Lactobacillales; Aerococcaceae.